This is a long non-coding RNA of Hemicordylus capensis (graceful crag lizard), 662 nucleotides long. RefSeq lists it as uncharacterized. The transcript has 3 exons. The record is from RefSeq and is a predicted model, not a curated record. Lineage: Eukaryota; Metazoa; Chordata; Lepidosauria; Squamata; Cordylidae.
CUUAGGUGGAGGAGAGGACACCGAGUCGGUGCUCACGACUCACGCAAAGGGCUGCCCUGGGUGCCAUCCACAGGCCAUUUGUUUCUGCCAAAGCAGAGAGAGUGGAGCUGCGGAAAACCGUGGCAGGGGCUGUCACUCUCCCUCCAGCUUAUCAGACGGGGAAAGCCCCCCAAAAGACAAUGCAGCGUGUUAUGGGCCCAGAGCUCCGAGAAUGGUGAAGAAAAUAAUUAGCCUGAAUAAGAAAACAAGGUUUUCUCAAAGAUAGAGACAGGACAAGUGCUACAGAAGAUUGAGAAGUUACAAGGUCCAGAUUUUGAGCUGUGGUCUUUCAAAAUGGAUGUGCUCCUUAAAGGCCAUAGAAUCAGCAGGUUCUUACACAGGGAGUGCCCUGUCAGAGACAGAGAAGAAAGAGAAGCUUGGGACAGUGCAGAUGAUAAAGCUACCAGGAUAAUCUGUCGAUGUGAAGCAGAUGUUUGCUGAAGUCAGAGGUUCUGCAAGGCUACACUGCAAACUGCAAAAAGGAGAAACAGUGAAACUGACUGUUGAAGAUGCAUCAUUUGUGCCCACACUUGAGUCCAGCAUGAUGUCAGUUAAAUAUGCUAUAGAGAAAGGUUAUGAGGUGAAAUUCAAAGAAAAGCAAUGUUUUAUCACAAUAAAGGUGA